AUUGAACGCUGGCGGCAGGCCUAACACAUGCAAGUCGAGCGCGCGGCGUACGGUUUAGUAAUGUCUGGGAAACUGCCUGAUGGAGGGGGAAAACUACUGGAAACGGUAGCUAAUACCUCAUACUAUCAGAUGUGCCCAGAUGGGAUUAGCUAGUAGGUAGGGUAACGGCCCACCUAGGCGACGAUCACUAGCUGGUCUGAGAGGAUGACAGGCCACACUGAAACUGAGACACGGUCCAGACUCCUACGGGAGGCAGCAGUAGGGAAUAUGGCACAAUAGGCGCCAGCCUGCUGCAGCCAUGCCGCGUGUGUGAAGAAGGCCUUCGGGUCGUAAAGCUCUUUCAGCGGGGAAGCGUUACCCGCAUAAGAAGCACCGGCUAACUCCGUGCCAGCAGCAGCGGUAAUAC
Molecule: ribosomal RNA, 406 nt
Filed under: uncultured bacterium
Lineage: Bacteria
Description: partial 16S ribosomal RNA
Rfam family: Bacterial small subunit ribosomal RNA
Source: RNAcentral